Non-coding RNA from Physeter macrocephalus (sperm whale), 680 nucleotides. The record is from the annotation of a RefSeq genome assembly. NCBI's taxonomy places the organism in Eukaryota, Metazoa, Chordata, Mammalia, Artiodactyla, Physeteridae.
UUCAUGUCUACUUCUCUUGGCCAUCCUUUCAUAGAGGUGUUAACAAGCUCAGGUCACUAACAGGAUGAAGGAAAGUCUGGAUUGUAGUGUUUGGCCCCAGAGGAAUUGAGGAAGACAUCAUGGUUUAACUCCCACACAUGAAUAAUCAUCUCACAAAAUAAAUUGAUUAUAUUUGCAGAAAUUCAGGCUGUUGCCAACCCAUCCGUUUUUGUCAUGAAAAACGGGACAAAUGUUGCUUGUCUGGUGAAGGAGUUCUACCCCAAAGAUGUAACUAUAAGUCUGGAAUCAUCCAAGAUAAUAAGAGAAUAUGACCGUGCUAUCGUCAUCUCUCCCAGUGGGAGGUACAGUGCUGUCAAGCUUGGUCAGUAUGGAGAUCCAGAUUCAGUGACAUGUUCAGUUCAACAUAACAAACAAACCUGGAGCUCUACUGACUUCGAACUGAAGAAAAGUACUUCAGAAAAUCCAAAACCAAAGGAACCUGAAAACAUCAAGCAAACUCAUACUCCAGAGACCUGCUAUGAGCCCCAAGCUGCAGUUCAAGCCAGGAAGGUGAACAUGAUGUCCCUUGCAGUGCUGGGGCUCCGAAUGCUGUUUGCCAAGAGUGUUGCCAUCAAUUUUCUCUUGACUGCCAAGUUAUUUUUCUUUUAAGGCUGACUGGCAUGAGAAGGCUACACGCCCUG